CCCAGCAGUAGUCAGCUGCCCGUGGCUGCUCAGUGCCUGUGCCAGUGUUAUGCUGCUGGGAGAGGAAGGUGCUGCUGAGCUUUCCUGGCACCGGUGGGGCCAUCCUGGUGCUCAGUGGUGCCAGGUUUUGGCAGCACUCUGCACGCCCGAGAGUGGAGUUACAGCCUAGAUUGGAUGCGGACAAC
Passer domesticus (house sparrow) is the source of this 185-nucleotide small nucleolar RNA. RefSeq annotates it as small nucleolar RNA SNORA74. The transcript has a single exon. The record is from RefSeq and is a predicted model, not a curated record. Lineage: Eukaryota; Metazoa; Chordata; Aves; Passeriformes; Passeridae.